Molecule: long non-coding RNA, 1319 nt
Filed under: Zostera marina
Lineage: Eukaryota; Viridiplantae; Streptophyta; Magnoliopsida; Alismatales; Zosteraceae
Description: long non-coding RNA (ZMAR_LNC003846)
Source: RNAcentral
UUCGUAUAGUUAUUUAACAUAAUUUUCAUUUGGUUCAUAAACAUGAAAACAAAAAUGUCCGUAUUUAUCAGUAAAGUUUUCAGUAUUUUUCUCCUACAAAAGGUCUAUUCACUCCCUUAAUUUAACAUUGCAUUUAAAAUCAUGUGAGAUCUGUGUUUCAUUGUCAGAUGAAGAAAAAAAGAUGUUAGUUAUUGCUUGCAGUAAUCUGAAUAAUACUAUGAGAACACACUGAACAAUGAUGAUAAGUAAUAAGCUAAUAUUUGUAUUAUGUAAUGUAAAAUUUUAAGGAGCGAUGUCGUUUUUGACUUAUAAUUACAAUAUGAAUCUAUUGAUCUCACUCCAAUAUCUGGGUUUCAACCCCAAAAAUUUAAUUUUCUGUAAAAUUACAACAUGAACUAGUCACUAGUGUUUUAGAAAUUUUAUUAAUCAACAAAAUUUAUUCGUAUAGUUAGUUAACAGAAUUUUCAUUUGGUUCAAAAACAUGAAAACAAAUUUCAUCAAAUGCAUCACAGAGGUAGGACAAUGAACCAAGGAAGGACAAUGUAACACGGAAAAAAUCAGAAAGUAUAAUUUAACCUUGAAAUCAAGAAAGUAUAAUUUAACAGUACUAAGAAAAUUAACAGUAACAAAGAUAAUUUUAAUUGUUUUACAGUUGACAAAGUGCAAAACAAUCACCAAAAUGAGUUAUUAGAAUAACUCCAAUUUUCAGAUACAUUUCAAGCUCUAACACAGCAGCACUACCGCCUUCUUUUAACACUAAUCAAUACCUUAAUCGAUAUCAUUUUCGCAAAAAAAAAAAACUGAAAUCCAAAAUUUCAUAGCGUAAACAAAAAUAUUCUCAGCCAUCAGGCAUCCGAACGUAAUCAAAGGUACAAAAAUCAAUGAUUUAGCAAAAAAAAUACAGAAAAUAAUAAAGGAGGCUAAAAACAAAGCAGAGAUGAUUUCAGAAAAUUAAAACAAUGAAUCCAGGUCUUUGUCGAUUUUUGUAAAUCACAAACGUUGAACAGAAGAAGAAGAGAGUAAAUUAAAACAAUGAAAUACCUGUAUUGAAGAUUGGGGAGGCGGAGAUAAUUUCACUGCUGCAAGCCGGAGAAGCGUCGACAAGAAGUGUGGAUCUGAUAUAUAUAGGGAAAAGGAUUCCCUGUUUUGCGGAGACCGCUCAUACCGAACGCAAUGUUGGCAUCUGUAGAGUACCAACGGAUUUGGCUUUUCGCACAACCGCUGCUCGAGUUAUGCAUCUGGAUGUUGAAGAGUGGAGGCCGAUUGUUAUUUGAACACUGAACAAGAAAGAAAAGUUUAGGGUUUAUAUAUUAGUUAAG